RNA transcript from Cucumis sativus (cucumber), 1713 nucleotides. It is a transcript of the gene named calcineurin B-like protein 1, with no coding region annotated. The record is from RefSeq and is a predicted model, not a curated record. The transcript has 8 exons. Lineage: Eukaryota; Viridiplantae; Streptophyta; Magnoliopsida; Cucurbitales; Cucurbitaceae.
CAUCCAAGUUGUCUUCCUUCCGCCGCUGCUUUUAAAUUAAACUUCCUUUCACUCUCGAAAUUUGCGCUUUCCAAUUCCAUUCCCCAUAGUUUUCUCUCUUCUUCAGGAUCAUUUCCCCUCAUUUUCCUCUCCUCUAACAAUAUCUCCCCUUCUCCUUGGAUUCCUCCGCCACACCAUUCUUCCUGGUGAGUCUCUUUUCCCCUUUCUCUCAUCUUUCCUUUACGCUUUAUAGCGAAUUCUCUGGAUUUUUUUAUGUGGGCCGUGCUUGGAUUUCAAUUUUAUAUUUGGGUUUCUUUAAAAAAAAAAAAGUUGUGUAAUCUUUCUUCCGAGUCUUUCUGAAAUUUGAGAUAAACGGGCGAAGAAUUUGUUGGAUCAUUUAAAACAGAGAGAAAAGAGAGAGAGAGAGAGAGGAGUGUAGAUGGGUCGGUAUGAAUGAAUACCUUGAUUAUUUUAUUGAUUACAAUUGAAUUUUAGAUGUCUCGUGUUUGAAAUACGAUUUUUUUUUUUUUAAAUUUUCUGAGGUCAACAAAAGGCUAAGUCAAAAUGUUUUACCCAAGAUUUAUGUUCGGUAGUUUGGUUUUGAAUUUUAUGUCGACUAAUCUGAGGGUGUUUUGAUGGUUGUUUUGAAUUUUGGGUUCGUUAAAUGCAAGGGGUAAGAUGGGUUUUCACGAUGUGUUGUAGUGAAACAGAGGAGGCAGCUGUUGGUUUUGCAUAUUCCGUUAUUUUUUUUCCAGUAAAUGGGCUGUGUUUCGUCUAAAGGAAGAAGGCAGUUCCCUGGCUACGAGGAUCCUGUUUUCCUUGCUUCACAAACGACUUUUAGUGUCAGUGAGGUUGAAGCUCUAUUCGAGCUUUUCAAAAGCAUCAGCAGUUCAGUGAUAGACGAUGGGCUAAUAAACAAGGAAGAAUUUUUAUUGGCUCUUUUCAAGAACAGGAAGAAAGAAAACCUCUUUGCAAGCCGGAUCUUUGAUCUAUUUGAUGUGAAGCACAGAGGAGUUAUUGAUUUUGGUGACUUUGUUAGAGCGCUCCAUAUAUUCCAUCCAAAUACUUCUAUGGAAGACAAGAUAAAUUUUUCAUUUAGGCUUUAUGACCUAGAUAAUACGGGCUUUAUCGAACGAGAAGAGGUUAAGCAAAUGUUAUUAGCACUUCUUGGUGAAUCUGAAAUGAAGUUGGCUGAUGAGACCGUUGAGGCGAUUCUUGAUAAGAAUCAUGAAACACUUCUUUGUGCCUUGUAGACAUUUUUGGAAGCGGAUACGAACCAAGAUGGGAAGAUCGACAUGUCAGAAUGGCAAUAUUUUGUUUCCAAGAACCCCUCGUUAUUAAGGAUCAUGACACUCCCUUAUUUAAGGGAUAUAACGACAGCAUUCCCAAGUUUUGUGUUUUAUUCUGAGGUGGAUGAGGCUGCUGCUUGAAGAAAGUACAGAGAAUUGGAAGUGUGAUUAGCUAGAUUAACUGUUAAUGACAUAUUUUUAUUUUUCUUAUUCUUGGAAACCAAACAGUUUGAAGAUGAAAUAAUGAGAGGAAAAAAAGAAAGAAAAAAAAAAAAAAGAAAAAAAAACUAGAUGGAUUUUAGAAUUAUUAUUUUUUCUUAGAAAAAGUUGGGAGAAGUCCUUGUGUGAGCAAUAAUAGUGCUCGGUUUUGUGUAAAGCAUCUUCGUCUAACUUUUGCAAUUAACAUUUCACAUUAGAAAAUACAUUUCUUUUUUCUUCUCUUUAA